Long non-coding RNA from Maniola jurtina (meadow brown), 450 nucleotides. RefSeq lists it as uncharacterized. The transcript is spliced from 3 exons. The record is from RefSeq and is a predicted model, not a curated record. NCBI's taxonomy places the organism in Eukaryota, Metazoa, Arthropoda, Insecta, Lepidoptera, Nymphalidae.
AACAUUAUAGGUACCUGUCAUUAUAACGGUUAUAAUAUAUCAGUGCUUGACUGUCUAAAUCUAAUGAUAUCUUGUUCAUAUUAAAGUUUACAAAGUUAGAAUUUGGUCGAGAAAUACUAACACUAUAAUGUAAUAAUUAUACUCGUAAAGUACUUCAUUAAUCUUUAAAUACGAUGAAGGCCUCCGAUAGGUAUAUUAUAUACACAGACUAGUAUAUAUCUAGUAGGAAAGUAUUACUAAUUAUAUUAUUACGAAUAAGUUAUAGUGUCAUUUUAACUCUCGAUAUAUAAUGACAUUAUGUAAAAGAGAUGUAGAAAUAGUGAAAUAAGUACCUAUGUAUUUUGUAAAAUUCAUAAGAUAUCGACUGUUCAAUAGCUCUAUUAAUUAUAUUUUGUAAAAAUAUAUUUAACUGUCCUAAAUAUUAUGUAGUAGGUACGUUGUACCUAACUA